AACGAACGCUGGCGGCAUGCCUAACACAUGCAAGUCGAACGAGACCUUCGGGUCUAGUGGCGCACGGGUGCGUAACGCGUGGGAACCUGCCCUUAGGUUCGGAAUAACUCCCCGAAAGGGGCGCUAAUACCGGAUAAUGUCUUCGGACCAAAGAUUUAUCGCCUUUGGAUGGGCCCGCGUUGGAUUAGCUAGUUGGUAGGGUAAAAGCCUACCAAGGCGACGAUCCAUAGCUGGUCUGAGAGGAUGUUCAGCCACACUGGGACUGAGACACGGCCCAGACUCCUACGGGAGGCAGCAGUGGGGAAUAUUGGACAAUGGGCGAAAGCCUGAUCCAGCAAUGCCGCGUGAGUGAUGAAGGCCUUAGGGUUGUAAAGCUCUUUUACCCGGGAUGAUAAUGACAGUACCGGGAGAAUAAGCUCCGGCUAACUCCGUG
RNAcentral lists this ribosomal RNA (433 nucleotides) under uncultured bacterium. Its description in RNAcentral is "partial 16S ribosomal RNA". It matches the Rfam family "Bacterial small subunit ribosomal RNA", at positions 29 to 507 of the family's 1533-position model. The record is from RNAcentral.